Molecule: ribosomal RNA, 292 nt
Filed under: uncultured microorganism
Description: partial 16S ribosomal RNA
Rfam family: Bacterial small subunit ribosomal RNA
Source: RNAcentral
GUGCCAGCAGCCGCGGUAAUACGUAGGGUGCGAGCGUUGUCCGGAAUUAUUGGGCGUAAAGAGCUCGUAGGCGGUUUGUUGCGUCGGCCGUGAAAACCUGCAGCUUAACUGUGGGCCUGCGGUCGAUACGGGCAGACUUGAGUUCGGUAGGGGAGACUGGAAUUCCUGGUGUAGCGGUGAAAUGCGCAGAUAUCAGGAGGAACACCGGUGGCGAAGGCGGGUCUCUGGGCCGAUACUGACGCUGAGGAGCGAAAGCGUGGGGAGCGAACAGGAUUAGAUACCCUGGUAGUCC